RNAcentral lists this unclassified non-coding RNA (249 nucleotides) under plant metagenome. RNAcentral describes it as "partial contains small subunit ribosomal RNA, internal transcribed spacer 1, and 5.8S ribosomal RNA". The record is from RNAcentral.
UUUCCGUAGGUGAACCUGCGGAAGGAUCAUUAUCGUACAACGGGGGUGCGAGGGCUGUCGCUGACCCUUCGAAAGGUCGUGCACGCUCGAGCACUCUCAUAAAUCCAUCUCACCCCUUUGUGCAUCACCGCGUGGGUCCCCUUUGCAGGAGGGCUCACGUUUUCACACAAAACUUGAUACAGUGUAGAAUGUUAUCUUUGCGGUCACACGCAAUCAAUACAACUUUCAACAACGGAUCUCUUGGCUCUC